Molecule: ribosomal RNA, 1299 nt
Filed under: Psychrobacter sp.
Lineage: Bacteria; Pseudomonadati; Pseudomonadota; Gammaproteobacteria; Moraxellales; Moraxellaceae
Description: bacterial SSU rRNA
Rfam family: Bacterial small subunit ribosomal RNA
Source: RNAcentral
AGUGGGGGAUAGCUCGGGGAAACUCGAAUUAAUACCGCAUACGACCUACGGGAGAAAGGGGGCAACUUGUUGCUCUCGCUAUUAGAUGAGCCUAAGUCGGAUUAGCUAGAUGGUGGGGUAAAGGCCUACCAUGGCGACGAUCUGUAGCUGGUCUGAGAGGAUGAUCAGCCACACCGGGACUGAGACACGGCCCGGACUCCUACGGGAGGCAGCAGUGGGGAAUAUUGGACAAUGGGGGAAACCCUGAUCCAGCCAUGCCGCGUGUGUGAAGAAGGCCUUUUGGUUGUAAAGCACUUUAAGCAGUGAAGAAGACUCUUCGGUUAAUACCCGGAGACGAUGACAUUAGCUGCAGAAUAAGCACCGGCUAACUCUGUGCCAGCAGCCGCGGUAAUACAGAGGGUGGCAAGCGUUAAUCGGAAUUACUGGGGCGUAAAGCGAGCGUAGGUGGGCUUGAUAAGUCAGAUGUGAAAUCCCCGGGCUUAACCUGGGGAAACUGCAUCUGAUACUGGUCAGGCUAGAGUAAGGUGAGAGGAAGGGUAGAAUUUCCAGGGUGUAGCGGUGAAAUGGCGUAGAGAUCUGGGAGGGAAUACCGAUGGGCGAAAGGCAGCCUUCUGGCAUCAUACUGACACUGAGGCUCGAAAGCGUGGGUAGCAAACAGGAUUAGAUACCCUGGUAGUCCACGCCGUAAACGAUGUCUACUAGUCGUUGGGUCCCUUGAGGACUUAGUGACGCAGCUAACGCAAUAAGUAGACCGCCUGGGGAGUACGGCCGCAAGGUUAAAACUCAAAUGAAUUGACGGGGGCCCGCACAAGCGGUGGAGCAUGUGGUUUAAUUCGAUGCAACGCGAAGAACCUUACCUGGUCUUGACAUAUCUAGAAUCCUGCAGAGAUGCGGGAGUGCCUUCGGGAAUUAGAAUACAGGUGCUGCAUGGCUGUCGUCAGCUCGUGUCGUGAGAUGUUGGGUUAAGUCCCGCAACGAGCGCAACCCUUGUCCUUAGUUACCAGCGGGUUAAGCCGGGAACUCUAAGGAUACUGCCAGUGACAAACUGGAGGAAGGCGGGGACGACGUCAAGUCAUCAUGGCCCUUACGACCAGGGCUACACACGUGCUACAAUGGUAGGUACAGAGGGCAGCUACACAGCGAUGUGAUGCGAAUCUCAAAAAGCCUAUCGUAGUCCAGAUUGGAGUCUGCAACUCGACUCCAUGAAGUAGGAAUCGCUAGUAAUCGCGGAUCAGAAUGCCGCGGUGAAUACGUUCCCGGGCCUUGUACACACCAGCCCGUCACACCAUGGGAGUUGAU